AGGGGUAUAGUUCAAUGGUAGAACAACAGGCUUCAACCCUGUGUGUUGUGAGUUCGAGUCUUGCUACCCCUGCCA
Molecule: transfer RNA, 75 nt
Filed under: [Mycoplasma] anseris
Lineage: Bacteria; Bacillati; Mycoplasmatota; Mycoplasmoidales; Metamycoplasmataceae
Also listed under: 12 other names
Description: Mycoplasma anseris tRNA-Trp
Rfam family: tRNA
About the family: Transfer RNA (tRNA) molecules are approximately 80 nucleotides in length. Their secondary structure includes four short double-helical elements and three loops (D, anti-codon, and T loops).
Source: RNAcentral